UUGGACCUGAUAUCAGACAAGAUUACCCGCUGAACUUAAGCAUAUCAAUAAGCGGAGGAAAAGAAACUAACAAGGAUUCCCCUAGUAACGGCGAGUGAAGCGGGAAGAGCUCAAGCUUAAAAUCUCUGCGCAAGUUUUGCGCGGCGAAUUGUAGUCUAUAGACGCUAAAUCAGUGCGGCUAUUCGGGUUAAGUUCCUUGGAAGAGGACAGCAAUGAGGGUGAUACUCCCGUUUGUACCUGAGUAUGUUGCACGUACGAUUUGUGUUCUUUGAGUCGCGUUGUUUGGGAAUGCAGCGCAAAGUAGGUGGUAAAUUCCAUCUAAAGCUAAAUAUUGGUGCGAGACCGAUAGCGAACAAGUACCGUGAGGGAAAGAUGAAAAGAACUUUGAAAAGAGAGUUAAAGAGUACCUGAAACUGCUGAAAGGGAACCGGGUCGUUGCCAGUGUCUAUAAUCCUCGGCAUAUUUCAUUGCUGUGCGGGGCUGUGUCGCGCGUUGGUAGUAGUUUGUUCUGCGCUGCGUGUGUCGUUCGGCUUUGCUCGGCGGUGCCCUGUGUCGUGGUGGGACGUCAGAGUCAGUUCGUGUGCUGCGGGAAAUGGCUGUCGAGGAGGUAGGUCAGGAGCUUGCUUCUGGCUGUUAUAUCUUGGCGUGCUAGUUGUCGUGGUUGGGACUGAGGUGCCUACAACGUGCUUUUUGAGUGUUUGUGCGUCUCUGUGUGCGUCCGGGAUUGGAUAGCUUGCUAUGCAGUUUGUCACGUGUGCGGAUGGAUGUGUAUUCUUACUUGUUGCCGUUCGGGACUUUGACGAAAUGGCGCGAUCCGACCCGUCUUGAAACACGGACCAAGGAGUCUAACAUGUGUGCAAGUGUUAGGGUGUGGAAACCCAAGCGCGAAAUGAAAGUAAAGGACAGCGUUUUGUUGUCUGAGGUAGGAAACCUUUGCUUGUCAGGGGUGGCACUAUCGACCGAUCAUGAACCCUCGUGGUGAAAGAUUUGAGUAUGAGCACAUAUGUUGGUACCCGAAAGAUGGUGAACUAUGCCUGAGUAGGGUGAAGCCAGGGGAAACUCUGGUGGAAGCUCGUAGCGAUUCUGACGUGCAAAUCGAUCGUCAAACUUGGGUAUAGGGGCGAAAGACUAAUCGAACCAUCUAGUAGCUGGUUCCCUCCGAAAUUUCCCUCAGGAUAGCAGCAACUUAUUUACGAUAGUUUUAUGAGGUAAAGCGAAUGAUUAGAGGACUCGGGGAAGAAACUUCCUUGACCUAUUCUCAAACUUUAAAUCUGUAAGACCUGCAGGUUUCUUAAUUGAACUUGCGGAUGUGAAUAUCAAGUUGCUAGUGGGCCAUACGGGGUAAGCUCGUCUGGGCGAUGCGGGAUGAUCCGAACGCAAAGUUAAAGUGCCAAAAUACCCGCUCACCUAGAUACCAUAAAAGGUGUUGGUUCAUUUAGACAGCAGGACGGUGGCCAUGGAAGUCGGAAUCCGCUAAGGAGUGUGUAACAAC
This 1492-nucleotide ribosomal RNA is filed under the name Phytopythium boreale. Its description in RNAcentral is "eukaryotic LSU rRNA". It matches the Rfam family "Eukaryotic large subunit ribosomal RNA", at positions 1 to 1289 of the family's 3401-position model. Lineage: Eukaryota; Oomycota; Peronosporomycetes; Pythiales; Pythiaceae. The record is from RNAcentral.